This 477-nucleotide ribosomal RNA is filed under the name uncultured bacterium. RNAcentral's name for it is "SSU rRNA". It matches the Rfam family "Bacterial small subunit ribosomal RNA", at positions 26 to 523 of the family's 1533-position model. The record is from RNAcentral.
AGGAUGAACGCUGGCGGCGUGCCUAACACAUGCAAGUCGAACGUCCUGUCUCGCAAGAGGCAGGGAGUGGCGGACGGGUGAGUACCACGUGGGUUAUCUACCGUGAGGUGAGGAAUACCGGCGAGAAAUCGCCGACAAGACCGCAUAGGCUCGAUGCAAGUCGAGCAAAGCUCUUUCGAGAGAGGGAGCGCCACACGAGGAGCCUGCGCCCGAUUAGCUAGCUGGUGGAGUAACGGUUCACCAGGGCGACGAUCGGUAGCUGGUCUGAGAGGACGAUCAGCCACACUGGGAUUGAGAACGGCCCAGACUCCUACGGGGGGCAGCAGUGAGGAAUUUUCGUCAAUGGGGGCAACCUGAACGAGCAACGCCGCGUGCAGGAAGAAGGUUUUCGGAUCGUAAACUGCUUUUCUCGGGGAAGAGAACGGACGGUACCCGAGGAAUCAGCCCCGGCUAACUACGUGCCAGCAGCCGCGGUAA